RNAcentral lists this long non-coding RNA (364 nucleotides) under Salvia miltiorrhiza (redroot sage). Its description in RNAcentral is "long non-coding RNA (SMIL_LNC002666)". The record is from RNAcentral. Lineage: Eukaryota; Viridiplantae; Streptophyta; Magnoliopsida; Lamiales; Lamiaceae.
GGAGGAGUGCCCUAAGCCGGUUGUACGUCUACUCUUAAACCUCAACUAAAGAGAGCUCAAGGAAGACAGAUUAGCUCACAAAAAAGAAGGGUGUGAAAAUUGAUAGGAAAAACGGAAGAAUUAUUACUAGUGGCAGUGGGGUGUGUGUUGCAGUGGUUCCAACAGCCAACUAAGUAUCCAACAAGAGACAGGUUGGUUGCUUGUGAUGAAGCUAAGGAGGGGGAGGAGAGAGAGAGGGAGGUGAGAGAAGAGAUGAGUGGGAAACAACUGCUGAGGUUAACAAUCGAUCUGAGCACAAAAAACAACCGACAAUGUCAUGUUCGUCCUCUCCCACGCCCUGCCACUUGGUCCCAUCCCAACCUUC